CAUAGUGAUCCGGUGGUUCUGUAUGGAAGGGCCAUCGCUCAACGGAUAAAAGGUACUCCGGGGAUAACAGGCUGAUACCGCCCAAGAGUUCAUAUCGACGGCGGUGUUUGGCACCUCGAUGUCGGCUCAUCACAUCCUGGGGCUGAAGUCGGUCCCAAGGGUAUGGCUGUUCGCCAUUUAAAGUGGUACGCGAGCUGGGUUUAGAACGUCGUGAGACAGUUCGGUCCCUAUCUGCCGUGGGCGUUGGAAGAUUGAAGGGGGCUGCUCCUAGUACGAGAGGACCGGAGUGGACGAACCUCUGGUGUUCGGGUUGUCAUGCCAAUGGCAUUGCCCGGUAGCUAAGUUCGGAAUCGAUAACCGCUGAAAGCAUCUAAGCGGGAAGCGAGCCCUGAGAUGAGUCUUCCCUGACCCCUUGAGGGUCCUAAAGGGUUGUUCGAGACUAGAACGUUGAUAGGCAGGGUGUGUAAGCGUUGUGAGGCGUUGAGCUAACCUGUACUAAUUGCCCGUGAGGCUUAACCAU
Molecule: ribosomal RNA, 520 nt
Filed under: Vibrio coralliilyticus ATCC BAA-450
Lineage: Bacteria; Pseudomonadati; Pseudomonadota; Gammaproteobacteria; Vibrionales; Vibrionaceae
Description: bacterial LSU rRNA
Rfam family: Bacterial large subunit ribosomal RNA
Source: RNAcentral